Molecule: ribosomal RNA, 405 nt
Filed under: uncultured bacterium
Lineage: Bacteria
Description: partial 16S ribosomal RNA
Rfam family: Bacterial small subunit ribosomal RNA
Source: RNAcentral
GAUGAACGCUGGCGGCGUGCCUAAUACAUGCAAGUCGAGCGAAGCGGAGACGGGUGAGAAACGCGUGGAUAACCUCCUAUAAGACUGGGAUAACUUCGGGAAACCGGAGCUAAACCGGAGGCUUAUGGAUGGAUCUGCGCUGCAUUAGCUAGUUGGUAAGGUAACGGGUUACCAGGGCAACGAUGCAUAGCCGACCUGAGAGGGUGAUCGGCCACCUGGGAACUGCGACACGGUCCAUACGCCUACGUGAGGCAGCAGUAGGGAAGCUUCCGCAAUGGGCGAAAGCCUGACGGAGCAACGCGGCGUGAGUUAUGAAGGUCUUCGGAGCGUAAAGAUCUGUUACUAGUGAAGCGGUACCUAAUCAGAAAGCCACGGCUAACUACGUGCCAGCAGCCGCGGUAAUUC